UAUUUACUCCCUUCGUCCCAAAAUUCUUGUCUUAUCUUUGUUUAGAAAUAGAAGUAUCUAAAUACUAAACUGUGACUGUAUACAUUCAUAUCUAGACAAAUGUAAGACAAAAUUUUUAAGACGGAGAGAGUAUAUA
This is a non-coding RNA of Hordeum vulgare subsp. vulgare (domesticated barley), 136 nucleotides long. NCBI's taxonomy places the organism in Eukaryota, Viridiplantae, Streptophyta, Magnoliopsida, Poales, Poaceae. The record is from Rfam.